Molecule: ribosomal RNA, 445 nt
Filed under: uncultured bacterium
Lineage: Bacteria
Description: bacterial SSU rRNA
Rfam family: Bacterial small subunit ribosomal RNA
Source: RNAcentral
CCAGACUCCUACGGGAGGCAGCAGUGGGGAAUAUUGCACAAUGGGGGAAACCCUGAUGCAGCAACGCCGCGUGGGUGAAGGAGCGUUUCGGCGCGUAAAGCCCUGUCAGCGGGGAAGAAGAAAGACGGUACCCGACCAAGAAGCCCCGGCUAACUACGUGCCAGCAGCCGCGGUAAUACGUAGGGGGCGAGCGUUAUCCGGAAUUACUGGGUGUAAAGGGAGCGUAGACGGCGAGGUAAGCCUGAAGUGGAAGCCCGCGGCCCAACCGCGGAACUGCUUUGGGAACUGUUUUGCUGGAGUAUGGGAGGGGUAAGCGGAAUUCCUGGUGUAGCGGUGAAAUGCGUAGAUAUCAGGAGGAACACCGGUGGCGAAGGCGGCUUACUGGACCAUAACUGACGUUGAGGCUCGAAAGCGUGGGGAGCGAACAGGAUUAGAUACCCCAGUA